Molecule: ribosomal RNA, 628 nt
Filed under: Walterinnesia morgani
Lineage: Eukaryota; Metazoa; Chordata; Lepidosauria; Squamata; Elapidae
Description: partial small subunit ribosomal RNA
Source: RNAcentral
ACAGACCCAAGACAAUACCACCGGCGUAAAGCACGACUAAAACAACAGUUUAUACAUUAGGGAGAAAACCAAGCUGGGCUGUAAAAAGCCAUAAGCAACACUAAACACCAAACCCUAACCCCAUAACAACUUCAACUCGUGAAAGCAAGGACACAAACUAAGAUUAGAUACCCUACUAUGCCUAGCCGUAACAAAACAAUUAAAUAACCAAUUGUUCGCCAAAUAACUACGAGUAAAAACUUAAAAUUUAAAAGACUUGACGGUACUUCACACCAACCUAGAGGAGCCUGUCUAAUAACCGACAAUCCACGAUUAACCCAACCCGCUCUAGCCUAACAGUCUAUAUACCGCCGUCGCCAGCUUACCUUGUGAAAGAAAUAAAGUAAGCCCAAUAAUACCCCCAUUAACACGACAGGUCGAGGUGUAACCAAUGAGAGGGUCAAAGAUGGGCUACAUUUUCUUUACUCAGAAAACACGAAUAAACUAUGAAACUAGAAACUGAAGGAGGAUUUAGCAGUAAGCCAAGAACAGAAUACUUAGCCGAAACCAACGCAAUGAAGUGCGCACACACCGCCCGUCAUCCCUGUAAAACACACUAAACAUUCAUAAACACCCAUUACCACUAAAA